Molecule: ribosomal RNA, 553 nt
Filed under: uncultured Bacteroidota bacterium
Lineage: Bacteria; Pseudomonadati; Bacteroidota
Description: bacterial SSU rRNA
Rfam family: Bacterial small subunit ribosomal RNA
Source: RNAcentral
CAGUGAGGAAUAUUGGUCAAUGGACGCAAGUCUGAACCAGCCAUGUCGCGUGCAGGAUGACGGCCCUAUGGGUUGUAAACUGCUUUUUUACAGGAAUAAACUUAGCUACGUGUAGUGAACUGAAGGUACUGUAGGAAUAAGGAUCGGCUAACUCCGUGCCAGCAGCCGCGGUAAUACGGAGGAUUCGAGCGUUAUCCGGAUUUAUUGGGUUUAAAGGGUCCGUAGGCGGGCCAAUAAGUCAGUGGUGAAAUCCCAGAGCUCAACUCUGGAACUGCCAUUGAUACUGUUGGUCUUGAAUUUAGUUGAGGUGGGCGGAAUACGUUAUGUAGCGGUGAAAUGCAUAGAUAUAACGUAGAACACCGAUUGCGAAGGCAGCUCACUAAACUAACAUUGACGCUGAUGGACGAAAGCGUGGGGAGCGAACAGGAUUAGAUACCCUGGUAGUCCACGCCGUAAACGAUGAUUACUCGUUGUGCACAAUACAUCGUGCGUGACUGAGCGAAAGCAUUAAGUAAUCCACCUGGGGAGUACGUUCGCAAGAAUGAAACUCAAA